RNAcentral lists this ribosomal RNA (258 nucleotides) under uncultured bacterium. RNAcentral describes it as "partial 16S ribosomal RNA". It matches the Rfam family "Bacterial small subunit ribosomal RNA", at positions 96 to 354 of the family's 1533-position model. The record is from RNAcentral.
UGGCGGACGGGUGAGUAACGCGUGGGUAACCUGCCCUAUACUGGGGGAUAACAGCUAGAAAUGGCUGCUAAUACCGCAUGAGCGCACAGUCCCGCAUGGGACAGUGUGGAAAACUCCGGUGGUAUAGGAUGGACCCGCGUCCGAUCAGCUGGUUGGUGGGGUAACGGCCCACCAAGGCGACGAUCGGUAGCCGACCUGAGAGGGUGACCGGCCACAUUGGGACUGAGACACGGCCCAAACUCCUACGGAAGGCAGCAG